RNAcentral lists this transfer-messenger RNA (370 nucleotides) under Candidatus Dormibacteria. RNAcentral's name for it is "Palsa-875 sp003244045 Standard tmRNA". It matches the Rfam family "transfer-messenger RNA". From Rfam's summary of the family: Bacterial tmRNA, also known as 10Sa RNA or SsrA, is named for its dual tRNA and mRNA-like properties. Its role is to liberate the mRNA from a stalled ribosome. Lineage: Bacteria; Bacillati; Candidatus Dormiibacterota. The record is from RNAcentral. RNAcentral also lists the same sequence under 1 other name.
GGGGGCGUACGGUUUCGACGGGGUCGUGGUUUGCGUGACUGCGAGUCGAGCCCCGGGCUCGUAAAACCGGGACAAACAUAAGUGCGAAGAAUGCACAGCCCCUUGCGCUCGCUGCGUAAGUAAGGCAAACGCUCAGGCUACGGCCUGACGUCGACCGGUCAAGCGGCUGCGCUGACCGGACCCGACGCUAAUACCAGCAGCCUCGGCCCCCGCUGGCGUCACGGCGGCGGGGGCGACGUACACCGUGACUGGCCGGUACGGAGCCUGGUCCCAGGGCGACGCAUCGGUGAGAACAAAACCGGGACUACACUCGUAGACGUUGCGCUUGACACGGCUUCGGACCCGGGUUCGAUUCCCGGCGCCUCCACCA